RNAcentral lists this long non-coding RNA (605 nucleotides) under Volvox carteri. RNAcentral's name for it is "long non-coding RNA (VCAR_LNC000091)". The record is from RNAcentral. Lineage: Eukaryota; Viridiplantae; Chlorophyta; Chlorophyceae; Chlamydomonadales; Volvocaceae.
GAUUUUGCGGGAUUACACUUUACACACAGCAUGUAAUUUUGGUAUCUUAGACCAACCGGUCAAACGACCUCGGAGUCAAGCACUCCAUCGCUUCCGCAAACACAUUCCAACUUAAGAAACAUUUUCUAUCUGACUUACAUGGCGAGCCCAGGGAAUACCAUGCGCACCCAGUCGGCGAAGGCCGACCAUGAGCGCUAUCAGCUGCGCCAGGUGAGCCCCUCUAGGGCAAAGGAACUGGUACAAAAGGUCCAGGAAAUGUAUGAGAAGUACGUAAGGCGUGCCCAGCGUAAGGGCAUAACACCGCCGUCGCGCAUGUUUGACAAAGUCAGACAAUUCUGCGACGAGCAAGGCUAUCGCUCCGCACUAGGCUUCCUAAUGGAAGCUAAUGAGGAACUCUCCUAUGUGCAGAAAAGCCGCGAACUGCGGGAGCGUUUUAGCCACUGCGGCGCAUGACGCCGACAACAACGCCAAUGGAGCGCACGACCCAACAGGUCCCGGACCCUCGCGCCCACGUACUGCGCAGCCAACUGCUGCCGCCGCGGAGCCGGCCAGGGUAACUGGGCCCACCGCCGCGCUCCAGCCGCAACGCGGCACACGGCAGGGUG